Molecule: non-coding RNA, 22 nt
Filed under: Arabidopsis thaliana (thale cress)
Lineage: Eukaryota; Viridiplantae; Streptophyta; Magnoliopsida; Brassicales; Brassicaceae
Source: RNAcentral
UUGGUUGAAAAGCCAGUGGCGC